This 268-nucleotide unclassified non-coding RNA is filed under the name Bombus terrestris (buff-tailed bumblebee). RNAcentral's name for it is "misc RNA ENSBTSG00005025792.1". Lineage: Eukaryota; Metazoa; Arthropoda; Insecta; Hymenoptera; Apidae. The record is from RNAcentral.
UCGUUUAGAGUUUCACUUGCUCUUUUAUUCAGGAAGAUUCGUAUCAUGUCAGACUCGCAUCUAACCUAAAUUAUUGCGCUCUCCUAUAACUCAACAAUGACACGAAAAAUUGAAAAACAAUCGAUUACAUCUCAAUUAUUGUAUCGAAUUUAACGCAUAGUACCGAAAUUGCUCAAUUAAAUUUUCGAUUGAAUCCAGUAAUCCACCUCCGAGAAAACUAACUAAAAAAUGUAUUUUGCAAUAAGCUCAAUACCCGUUUCGUCUGAAC